RNAcentral lists this ribosomal RNA (491 nucleotides) under uncultured bacterium. RNAcentral describes it as "partial 16S ribosomal RNA". It matches the Rfam family "Bacterial small subunit ribosomal RNA", at positions 29 to 506 of the family's 1533-position model. The record is from RNAcentral.
AGUGAACGCUGGCGGUAGGCCUAACACAUGCAAGUCGAACGGCCGCACAGUAAGAGCUUGCUCUUACGGGUGGCGAGUGGCGGACGGGUGCGGAAUACAUCGGAAUAUACUUUUUCGUGGGGGCUAACGUCGGGAAACUUACGCUAAUACCGCAUACGACCUCCGGGUGAAAGCAGGGGAUCUUCGAACCUUGCGCGAUUGAAUGUGCCGAUGUAGGAUUAGCUAGGUGGCGGGGUCAAGGCCCACCAAGGCGACGAUCCGUAGCUGGACCAAGAGGAUGAUCAGCAGCACGUGAGCUAGGACACUGUCCAGACUUCGACGUGAGGCAGGAGUGGGGAAUAUUGGACAGGGGGCGGUAGCCUGUCCUAGGCAUUCCGCGUGAGUGAAGAAGACCUUCGCGGUGUAAAUCCCGUUUGUUGUGAAAGAAAAGCAGCAUUUUAAUACCCCGCUGUUCUGACGGUACCCAAAGAAUAAGCACCGGCUAACUUCUG